CUCUCUCUUAGCUAUGGGAGACACAGCAAGAAGGCAGCUGUCUGUAAGCCAGGAAGUGGACCCUCACCAAGAACUGGCACCUUGAUCUUGGACUUCUCAGCCUCCAGAACUAUAAGAAGUUUUGUUUAGGCUGCCUUGUCUGUGGUAUGUUGUUUCAGCAGCCCAAGUGACAGAGACACAGGGCCAGCAGCUCCCUGAGUUUGGAGGAGAAGUCUGGCCUUCAGACCAUUGGUCCAGGUUCUUGGUUUCCAGAGCAUUCCUGCUGCCCUCAUUCAGAUGCAGCUAGGUAAAGACCUCAAGUUUGGGAUGCAAGUUUGGGUACAAGAGGAAAGGAGGGGAGGGCUACCUGUCCUAAAAGAAAACCUACCCUAAUGAGAAUAGAUGGAAUUAUAGAAGGCCAGCCCCCCAUGCAUGAGAACAUCACUAGAACAGGAGAGGAAAGGCUCAGCCAGGAAGCCACAAGCUGGUAC
Molecule: long non-coding RNA, 470 nt
Filed under: Marmota monax (woodchuck)
Lineage: Eukaryota; Metazoa; Chordata; Mammalia; Rodentia; Sciuridae
Source: RNAcentral